RNAcentral lists this ribosomal RNA (481 nucleotides) under uncultured bacterium. RNAcentral describes it as "partial 16S ribosomal RNA". It matches the Rfam family "Bacterial small subunit ribosomal RNA", at positions 28 to 523 of the family's 1533-position model. The record is from RNAcentral.
AUUGAACGCUGGCGGCAUGCCUUACACAUGCAAGUCGAACGGUAGCGGGCCUUCGGGUGCCGACGAGUGGCGAACGGGUGAGUAAUAUAUCGGAACGUACCUUUCAGUGGGGGAUAACCCCGUGAAACCGGGGCUAAUACCGGAUAUUCCGACCGGAUCGCAUGACCCGGUCGCGAAAGCUCCGACGGUCUGGGAUGGGCCCGCGGCCUAUCAGCUUGUUGGUGGGGGAACGGCCCACCAAGGCGACGACGGGUAGCUGGUCGGGGAGGACGGCCAGCCACACUGGGACUGGGACACGGCCCAGACUCCUACGGGAGGCAGCAGUGGGGAAUCUUGCGCCAAUGCGCGAAAGCGUGACGCAGCGACGCCGCGUGGGGGAUGAAGGCCCUCGGGUUGUAAACCCCUUUCGCCAGGGACGAAGCGAAAGUGACGGUACCUGGAGAAGAAGUCCCGGCUAACUACGUGCCAGCAGCCGCGGUAA